RNAcentral lists this unclassified non-coding RNA (707 nucleotides) under Hevea brasiliensis (rubber tree). Lineage: Eukaryota; Viridiplantae; Streptophyta; Magnoliopsida; Malpighiales; Euphorbiaceae. The record is from RNAcentral.
CUCCAUUAGAACCUUGAAAGGGAACUGUGGAUCAGCAGCCACUCUAGAUCGCCAGCCGUUCAGGAAGAGACCAAGAAUUCCAAAUCCCGAGGAUGACGAAUUCUCGAAAUCGGAAUCACCACUCCACCCUCCACUUUCGCCGCCGCCGCCACCACCUCCACCAAAUCCGCGACCUAUUCCGCUGCUGCCAUUGCCUCCACCAUGCAAAAACUCAGGCUUAUAAAGUUUGGGGCGAGGAAGAAGGCGUAGGGAAUGAUUAUGAGGAUCAGAAAAUGGGAAAGAAGCAGCAGGGCAAUUGAGAUUAGAGAUGCGAGAAUUCUGGGAAGAAGAACUUGAAUAUUGUCUAGCAAAAACAGAGCAUCGGAGUUGGGCCGCAGCUGCCAUUUUUCCAAUCGAAAGUGAUAAAAAGAAACCCGAAAAAAAAAUCACUAACAACAAUUCACAGAUCUAAAUUGAAAAGAAAUACACCACCCAGAUUGAAAAGAGAGGGAGGAUAGUGAUGAGUGAAAAUGGAGAAAGUAGGUGAGAGAUCAAGUUGGUCCUUGAUCGGCCACUUUAAUAAGCAAAACAAUCAAAAUCUGGAAGAAAUCUUAAUCAGGGAAUGGAGAAAUAGGAAUAAAAGGGUAACUGGGUAGCUGCCAUAAAAGGGAAUAGACUAGCAGGAGAAUGAAAGCUAUCGCUGUCUCGCUGAGAGUUGUGCAGAUGAU